Molecule: ribosomal RNA, 405 nt
Filed under: uncultured bacterium
Lineage: Bacteria
Description: partial 16S ribosomal RNA
Rfam family: Bacterial small subunit ribosomal RNA
Source: RNAcentral
GACGAACGCUGGCGGCGUGCCUAAUACAUGCAAGUCGAGCGAAGCGGGGACGGUUGAGUAACACGUGGAAAACCUCCUAUACGACUGGGAUAACUUCGGGAAACCGGUGCUAAACCUGAUACUUGUAGAUGGAUCCGCGGUGCAUUAGCUAGUUGGUAAGGUAACGGCUUACAAAGGCAACGAUGCAUAGCCGACCUGAGAGGGUGAUCGGCCACACUGGGACUGAGACACGGUCCAGACUCCUACGGGAGGCAGCAGUAGGGAAUCUUCCGCAAUGGGCGAAAGUCUGACGGAGCAACGCCGCGUGAGUGAUGAAGGUCUUCGGAUCGUAAAACUCUGUUGUUAGGGAAGCGGUACCUAAGCAGAAAGCCACGGCUAACUACGUGCCAGCAGCCGCGGUAAUAC